Molecule: ribosomal RNA, 397 nt
Filed under: uncultured bacterium
Lineage: Bacteria
Description: partial 16S ribosomal RNA
Rfam family: Bacterial small subunit ribosomal RNA
Source: RNAcentral
AUACGUAGGUGGCGAGCGUUGUCCGGAAUUACUGGGCGUAAAGGAUGCGUAGGUGGAUAUUUAAGUGGGAUGUGAAAUCCCCGGGCUCAACCCGGGAACUGCAUUCCAAACUGGGUAUCUAGAGUGCAGGAGAGGAAAGCGGAAUUCCUAGUGUAGCGGUGAAAUGCGUAGAUAUUAGGAGGAACACCAGUGGCGAAGGCGGUUUUCUGGACUGUACCUGACACUGAGGCAGGAAAGCGUGGGUAGCAAACAGGAUUAGAUACCCUGGUAGUCCCCGCCGUAAACGAUGGGUACUAGGUGUAGGAGGUAUCGCCCCCUCCUGUGCCGUCGUUAACACAAUAAGUACCCCGCCUGGGGAGUACGGUCGCAAGACUAAAACUCAAAGGAAUUGACGGGG